Molecule: ribosomal RNA, 482 nt
Filed under: uncultured bacterium
Lineage: Bacteria
Description: partial 16S ribosomal RNA
Rfam family: Bacterial small subunit ribosomal RNA
Source: RNAcentral
AUUGAACGCUGGCGGCAUGCCUUACACAUGCAAGUCGAACGGUAACGGGCCUUCGGGUGCCGACGAGUGGCGAACGGGUGAGUAAUACAUCGGAACGUGCCCGAUCGUGGGGGAUAACGAGGCGAAAGCUUUGCUAAUACCGCAUACGAUCUACGGAUGAAAGCAGGGGACCGCAAGGCCUUGCGCGGACGGAGCGGCCGAUGGCAGAUUAGGUAGUUGGUGGGAUAAAAGCUUACCAAGCCGACGAUCUGUAGCUGGUCUGAGAGGAUGAUCAGCCACAAUGGGACUGAGAACAGGCCCAGACUCCUAAGGGAGGCAGCAGUGGGGAAAUUUGGACAAUGGGCGGAAGCCUGAUCCAGGCAUGGCGCGGGCAGGAUGAAGGCCUUCGGGUUGUAAACUGCUUUUGUAAGGAAAGAAAAGCCUUCUUUUAGGAAAGGAGGGUUAAGAAGGUACCGGAAGAAUAAGCACCGGCUAACUAAGGG